AUGGAGGAGGGAGAGGUGGAGGAGGGAGGGGUGGAGAGGGAGGGGAGGAGGAGCAGUGAAAGGGAGGAGGGAGGGAGAGAGGGAGGGGGUGAGGGGCAGGCGCUCGCGGGGACAGGGCCUGGUGGCACGCGGCAGCCCCUGCAGUGCCGGCCAGGACCCCGCGGCUGGGGGAGGCGGGCCCUGCUCCACCCGUGCAGGGGUGGUGUGAGCGCCCCCCCCCCAGGGUCUGCCCUGAGCCGCAAGCGCCCUCUAGACGCAGGGUCUCGCCCCAGCUGCUCUGACCCGAGCAGGGGAGCGACCCCCCCGCCGCGUGGCCCCUGGGGGUGCCCGCAGCUCCCACGGGUCCCCCCACCCACCGGCCGCCCACACGCGUCGGGCCCCGGCAGCGCCCCUCCCGCCCCCGCCCCCGCGCGCCAGGAUGCGGUCGGCAGAGAAGCGGCCGCGAGUCAUGCUGGGCUUUCCAGAAAGCUCCUCGCAGAGGGCAUCGACGGGGCACAGUCUGGGCGCCGAGAAGCGGCUCAUCCUUCUCCCUCAGCCCCCGGGGAGCCCAAGGACACCUGCGCCCCAGCGUGCGGAGGGCCGCCGCGGUGUAGACAGCCCCCCCUCCCCCCCGGGGCUCCAGGGGCUGAGCUGCAGGGCGCCGCCGGGUGGGUCCCCUGCCUUCGCCCGCGCCCCGCACAAAGCCAAGACCCCGCCACCCCUUCCCAGGAACAGCCACGCGGCGGGGGGAGCCGCGCCCCCUCAGCCCCCGAGGGGGGGACACCUGCUGGGCGCUGGGCCGCCUCGCCCCGGAGCGCCCCCUCCCGGCCCCCGCGGCCCGCGCGUCCGCCGCCCGCACCUGCCCGCCCGCCCCGCCCGCCCCAGGAGCGCGCACCUCGCCGCACCCCUUCCGCGUUCCUCCUCCAAGAAGCAAAUGGGUGCAGAAUUCUGGAGGCCUAGGGGCCGGCCAGCGAGCAGGUUAGGGCUGAGUGUAGCUGCUCUGGCCCCCGGGAGUCUCCAGGAGCCUGGCUCCUGCCUGCUGGCCGCAUGCGGUGGUGCUGGGGUUCAUUGAGGCCAGAACCUGGGGGCCAGGCAUCCUACCCGCCAGCCCUACUGGGGUCUUGCCACCUCCCGAGGGCACCGUGUGAAGCCCUGUUCAGGGUCCUGCUGCUCCGGACACACGCUAUUUUCCUCCACCUUCUCAGGCCGUCACACCUCAUUUCCUGGCCUUCAAAAGCCACAUCUCUGCCCAUGCCCCUCAGGAUCCCUGACAUUGUCUCAGGAGGCUUAGUGCUAAGGCCUUCUGGAAGCUUCUGCUUUCCUCCCAGAGAAAAAGGAGGGGUGGACCGGAAGGGAGAAGGCAUGCAAAUCAACGUUGCAACAAGUUGUCCCACUGCGUAAGUAAUAAUAAUAAUGCUUACCUUCAAAGGCACUUUUCCCUCUGUCUAUCCCUGACAUGUUCCCAAAUUCCACCGUCUCCUCCCCUCCCGCCAUCCUCUUCUCCUGUACACACUCUGCCCGGAUGAUUGCACCCGGUCCAAGCUGCGGCCUUUCUCCAACCUUUUCCCUGUGCUUCCGAGCGCCCCACGAGGCUGUCCCCUGGACAUCACUUGUGUCCUCGGGUGAGCACACCCCACACUGAGCCCCCGAGCUAGGAACCUGGGAGCUCCUCGCCCCUUCCCUCUCCUCCCUGCCGUCUUUAGUCAAUAGUGAAGUGGAGCCAGGUCUACCUCCUACGCAGCUCUGUUUCUGAACCUUCCCAUCUCCAUUUGCUGAUUCAUCAAAUAUCUAAAAGUGAGUCGGCCUGGUUCUGGAUUGACACUUUUCAGUAGUGUGAUGGAUAAUUUGACGUAUCACCUUGGCUAGGCCUGUGGUACCCAGAUAGUUGGUCAGACAUUAUUCUAGAUGUUUCUGUGAAGGUAUUUUUCUUUUUCUUUUUUUAAGAUAUUUUUUUUUAAGAAGUCUCUCCAUCCAACGUGGAGCUAAUACUUGCAAGCCUGAGAUCCAGUCGCACAUCCUACUGACUGAGCCACCGGGUGCCCCUCUGUGAAGGUAUUCUUAAAUGAGAUUAACAUUUUUACAUGGGGCGGUAGACUCUGAGUAAAAAAGAUUCUCCUCCAUAAUGUGGGUGGGCCUCAGCCGGUCGGUUGAAGGCCUUCUUCAUAUAAAGAAGAGACUGACCCCCUCCGAUGAAGAAGGAAUUCUGCAAGCAGGCGGCCUUUGGACUCGAACUGCAGUCUUCUCUGGGUCUCCAGCGUGUCAGGCCACCCUGCAGAUUUGGGACUUAUCAGUAUUUCCAAUAGCAUGAAACAAUCCCUUAGAAGAAGUCUCCUCCUCCCCCACCUCUGUCUCUCUGUCUCAUGUACGUAUAUCCUAUUGAUUCUGUUUCUCUGAAGAACCUCAACUAAUACAGGUAGCCUCUCUUCAGUUUCCCCAUAGAAAUCUUAAAUCUGGGCAGCCUGCGACCCAGGGCGUGAUCCUGGGGACCGGGGAUUGAGUCCCUGUAGGGCUCCUUGCAUGGAGCCUGCUUCUCCCUCUGGCUGUGUCUCUGCCUCUCUCACUCUCUCUGUGUCUCUCAUGAAUAAAUAAAUAAAAUCUUAAAAAAAAAAAAAGGAAGAAAUCUUAAAUCUUAGCUAGCCCGCCCAGCUCUUCAGUGGACCUAGCUCAUGUAGUGCUUUCAUACAAAUGAGAGAAAGUCACUGCCUCUAGGCGUGACCCGGGCAUACAGUGUGGUGGGUGGAACACAAGUGAGUCCUGGGUGGACAGUGCACAACCUGGACAACCAUACAGAGCUGCCCCGCUUCCUGACGAGCCUCUGCCUGCCACUUAGGCCUUGUCUUUCUUUGUUUCCACUCUUUUUCCUCCUCAGCAUCCUACACUCCAAAUCCCCUGCAGCUCCUAGAACCUACCGUGCUGCUUUUGUAUAUAUCCCGUCAUCACUGCCUCAGGAGCUUCCUUGUUCCCAAAUUCCACCGUCUCCUCCCCUCCCGCCAUCCUCUUCUCCUGUACACACUCUGCCCGGAUGAUUGCACCCGCUCCAAACACCUUCCAAAUUCCCGGCACUGCCUUCCGCGGCUUUGCCACCCUCAGUCUGGCCCACCUUCCCUUUCCCUCUCUCUCCCUCCCUCGGCCCUGGGUUCUAGCCCUUACUUACUUCCCUGAUCCUAUUCCUGUUCGUUUACUCGCCUCAAUGGGGGAAUCAUCCAGGGGAGAGUUUGAACCGCGAUCCACCGUGCUCAGCACUAGUAGGUGCUCGGUACAUUCCAGCACAGAUGAAAGCAGGGACGCGGGUCUGCGACUGAGGAUGGCUGCAGGGAAGGAGGGAGCGGGACAGUACGAGGCGCUGACCGGGAGUGGGCUGGGGCGGGGAGAAUGAUGGGGGGAUGAUGGGGGGAUGAUGGAGGGGG
Molecule: long non-coding RNA, 3386 nt
Filed under: Canis lupus familiaris (dog)
Lineage: Eukaryota; Metazoa; Chordata; Mammalia; Carnivora; Canidae
Description: lncRNA (ENSCAFG00030024608.1)
Source: RNAcentral